GUGAAAAAAAAAGGGGGGUUAAAUUUUUCUCAUUUCAGAUUUCAUAAAUAAAAAGAAAAUUUCUUUAAACAUUUUUUUGAGAGGAUUAAUAUUCAACAGCAUAGUGAAUUGCUCAAAGGCAAAAAAAUAUUUUAAGUUCAUUAGACCACAUUCAUUCUGUGUCAGAAACCUAUGCUGUGUCAACUAUUUAAUCACAAUCCAAAUUUAGAGCUGAAUCCAGCUUGAAUGUUGUGUCCAUACUUGCCCCAAGCGUUCAGGGUUCAACCUCUGCGGUCGGAUAAAGCUGCA
RNAcentral lists this long non-coding RNA (288 nucleotides) under Mytilus galloprovincialis (Mediterranean mussel). The record is from RNAcentral. Lineage: Eukaryota; Metazoa; Mollusca; Bivalvia; Mytilida; Mytilidae.